Molecule: ribosomal RNA, 450 nt
Filed under: uncultured bacterium
Lineage: Bacteria
Description: partial 16S ribosomal RNA
Rfam family: Bacterial small subunit ribosomal RNA
Source: RNAcentral
GUGGGGAAUAUUGGACAAUGGGCGAAAGCCUGAUCCAGCCAUGCCGCGUGUGUGAAGAAGGUCUUCGGAUUGUAAAGCACUUUAAGUUGGGAGGAAGGGCAGUAAGUUAAUACCUUGCUGUUUUGACGUUACCAACAGAAUAAGCACCGGCUAACUUCGUGCCAGCAGCCGCGGUAAUACGAAGGGUGCAAGCGUUAAUCGGAAUUACUGGGCGUAAAGCGCGCGUAGGUGGUUCAGCAAGUUGAAGGUGAAAUCCCCGGGCUCAACCUGGGAACUGCCUCCAAAACUGCAUGACUAGAGUACGGUAGAGGGUAGUGGAAUUUCCUGUGUAGCGGUGAAAUGCGUAGAUAUAGGAAGGAACACCAGUGGCGAAGGCGACUACCUGGACUGAUACUGACACUGAGGUGCGAAAGCGUGGGGAGCAAACAGGAUUAGAUACCCGUGUAGUCC